CCUACGGGAGGCAGCAGUGGGGAAUUUUGGACAAUGGGGGCAACCCUGAUCCAGCAAUGCCGCGUGAGUGAAGAAGGCCCUCGGGUUGUAAAGCUCUUUUGUCAGGGAAGAAACGGUCUACUCUAAUACAGUGGGCUAAUGACGGUACCUGAAGAAUAAGCACCGGCUAACUACGUGCCAGCAGCCGCGGUAAUACGUAGGGUGCAAGCGUUAAUCGGAAUUACUGGGCGUAAAGCGUGCGCAGGCGGUUUUAUAAGACAGAGGUGAAAUCCCCGGGCUCAACCUGGGAACUGCCUUUGUGACUGUAAGGCUAGAGUGUGUCAGAGGGGGGUAGAAUUCCACGUGUAGCAGUGAAAUGCGUAGAUAUGUGGAGGAAUACCGAUGGCGAAGGCAGCCCCCUGGGAUAACACUGACGCUCAUGCACGAAAGCGUGGGGAGCAAACAGGAUUAGAUACCCUGGUAGUCCACGCCCUAAACGAUGUCUACUAGUUGUCGGGACUUAAUUGUCUUGGUAACGCAGCUAACGCGUGAAGUAGACCGCCUGGGGAAGUCGGUCGCAAAGNUUAAAACCUCAAAGGAAUUGACGGCUGNGAGNGCGAGACGACGACGAGGAGGAGG
This 618-nucleotide ribosomal RNA is filed under the name uncultured bacterium. RNAcentral's name for it is "bacterial SSU rRNA". It matches the Rfam family "Bacterial small subunit ribosomal RNA", at positions 338 to 947 of the family's 1533-position model. The record is from RNAcentral.